This 497-nucleotide ribosomal RNA is filed under the name uncultured bacterium. RNAcentral describes it as "partial 16S ribosomal RNA". It matches the Rfam family "Bacterial small subunit ribosomal RNA", at positions 28 to 507 of the family's 1533-position model. The record is from RNAcentral.
GAUGAACGCUGGCGGCGUGCCUAAUACAUGCAAGUCGAGCGAACAGACGAGGAGCUUGCUCCUCUGACGUUAGCGGCGGACGGGUGAGUAACACGUGGAUAACCUACCUAUAAGACUGGGAUAACUUCGGGAAACCGGAGCUAAUACCGGAUAAUAUAUUGAACCGCAUGGUUCAAUAGUGAAAGACGGUUUUGCUGUCACUUAUAGAUGGAUCCGCGCCGCAUUAGCUAGUUGGUAAGGUAACGGCUUACCAAGGCAACGAUGCGUAGCCGACCUGAGAGGGUGAUCGGCCACACUGGAACUUAGACACGGUCCAGACUCCUACGGGAGGCAGCAGUAGGGAAUCUUCCGCAAUGGUCGAAAGCCUGACGGAGCAACGCCGCGUGAGUGAUGAAGGUCUUCGGAUCGUAAAACUCUGUUAUUAGGGAAGAACAAAUGUGUAAGUAACUAUGCACGUCUUGACGGUACCUAAUCAGAAAGCCACGGCUAACUACGUG